This 961-nucleotide long non-coding RNA is filed under the name Salvator merianae (Argentine black and white tegu). RNAcentral's name for it is "lncRNA (ENSSMRG00000022187.1)". The record is from RNAcentral. Lineage: Eukaryota; Metazoa; Chordata; Lepidosauria; Squamata; Teiidae.
UCUACGACUGUGCCUACCCCCUAAGGAUGUCCCUGGGUCUGUAUCGCCGUUUGUAACACGUCCAAAAACCCAUAAAAAUGCCCUUAGCCCCCACCUGACUAANAACAACAACAACAACAAUAAUAAUAAGUGGUGCCUGGCGGUGCCCCCGAAUUUCCAAGCUCCCUCUGCCCUCUCCUCCGCUGCCCACUGCCUGAAUUUCGCACCUCCACCUACGUUUUGCAUGGAGGGGGAGGGAGAAGGUGGGCGCAGCUCCUAUAACCAGGCAACCCUCUUUAGACGUGGGGCUGUGCAGGAUGGGACUGUGAUUUAUAGGAUUUCUCCACUUUGUUCCUGCCUCCUCCUUGCUCUUCAGCCACUCCAAAGUCUCUUCGCCCUCGUUCAAAGCCACGAUUCCUUCCCCUCCGCGGCGGUGUGCGCGUCUCUCUCUUUCUCCCUCCCUCAUCUCCCUGGAGAGAGGGGGGGGGGGCGGGAAACUCAACUCCCAAACAUCGUCCAGAUGUCGAAGAAACGCAAAACCCCCGAGAGUGGAGGAUCCGGCCUCCACGAGGAGGAAUCCAAAACCCAGCUGGGGGACUGCGAUGAGCAAGGAACAGACUCAAAAAGUUCUUUUGUGGCACAGAAAUGCCUGAUGCAGCGCACUCUGCAGCAGUUAACUGCACCGUUUUCCUCUCCGGACACUAUUGAAGUUCGCGACUGGUUUGUUGCCAACUGGGCUCAUUUUAAAACCAACGCCUCAGACUACAAAAAGUUCGCGGAGCAUUUGCCGGGAGCCGCGCCUCGCCCCGAAGCAGACUGCACNACCACAGUCCCGGCUUGGGGCCACGGGCGCGCGUCGCUCUUGCCUUUCCUUCUCCUGGCUUUGGAUGCCCGAGAAACAACGUAGCCAACGAUGGAAACGCGAGAGGAAGGCGCGGCUCCUUGCCCUCUUUCCCUGGUGCUGAAACGGGGAUCGUUUGUC